GGUCUGUGAUGAGAAAUAGCCAAAUCUGACCACCAGAAGAUCAUCUUCCAGGUGUCAUGAUUUGUAUGCGGUUCUGAGA
RNAcentral lists this small nucleolar RNA (79 nucleotides) under Antrostomus carolinensis (chuck-will's-widow). Its description in RNAcentral is "Caprimulgus carolinensis (chuck-will's-widow) Small nucleolar RNA U2-19". It matches the Rfam family "Small nucleolar RNA U2-19". Rfam says of the family: U2-19 is a member of the C/D class of snoRNA which contain the C (UGAUGA) and D (CUGA) box motifs. The record is from Rfam by way of RNAcentral. Lineage: Eukaryota; Metazoa; Chordata; Aves; Caprimulgiformes; Caprimulgidae.